RNAcentral lists this ribosomal RNA (241 nucleotides) under uncultured Staphylococcus sp. Its description in RNAcentral is "partial 16S ribosomal RNA". It matches the Rfam family "Bacterial small subunit ribosomal RNA", at positions 99 to 334 of the family's 1533-position model. The record is from RNAcentral. Lineage: Bacteria; Bacillati; Bacillota; Bacilli; Caryophanales; Staphylococcaceae.
CGGACGGGUGAGUAACACGUGGAUAACCUACCUAUAAGACUGGGAUAACUUCGGGAAACCGGAGCUAAUACCGGAUAAUAUAUUGAACCGCAUGGUUCAAUAGUGAAAGACGGUUUUGCUGUCACUUAUAGAUGGAUCCGCGCCGCAUUAGCUAGUUGGUAAGGUGACGGCUUACCAAGGCAACGAUGCGUAGCCGACCUGAGAGGGUGAUCGGCCACACUGGAACUGAGACACGGUCCAG